AACGAACGCUGGCGGCGCGCCUAAUACAUGCAAGUCGAGCGAGAAGACGUAGCAAUACGUUUGUAAAGCGGCGAACGGGUGAGGAAUACAUGGGUAACCUACCCUCGAGUGGGGAAUAACUAGCCGAAAGGUUAGCUAAUACCGCGUACGCUCCUUGGACUUCGGUUCAGGGAGGAAAGCGAUACCGUGGGUAUCGCGCUCUUGGAUGGGCUCAUGUCCUAUCAGCUUGUUGGUGAGGAACGGCUCACCAAGGCUUCGACGGGUAGCUGGUCUGAGAGGACGAUCAGCCACACUGGCACUGCGACACGGGCCAGACUCCUACGGGAGCAGCAGUAAGGAAUAUUGCGCAAUGGGCGAAAGCCUGACGCAGCGACGCCGCGUGGGGGAUGAAGGUCUUCGGA
RNAcentral lists this ribosomal RNA (401 nucleotides) under uncultured bacterium. Its description in RNAcentral is "bacterial SSU rRNA". It matches the Rfam family "Bacterial small subunit ribosomal RNA", at positions 29 to 422 of the family's 1533-position model. The record is from RNAcentral.